Molecule: RNA transcript, 3624 nt
Organism: Panicum virgatum (switchgrass)
Lineage: Eukaryota; Viridiplantae; Streptophyta; Magnoliopsida; Poales; Poaceae
Gene name: pentatricopeptide repeat-containing protein At1g76280-like
Exons: 16
Source: RefSeq, a predicted model, not a curated record
CCCGCCCGCAAGGCCGCAGCCCGCAGCCAGAUUCCCCUCACCAAAAACCCUUCCGCCCUCCGCCGUGGCGCCCGCCGCCGCCGCCGGCCCCGCUCUCGUCCGCCUCCACUUCCUAGGCCGCGCCCCACCUCCCACGCGUCCUCCGCGGGACCUGGAUUCGUGCGGCGGUCGGCCCAGAGAUCAUCGCCCCGCCCGGCGGGCGCCCCCCCCCCCUCUCGCUGAAAGGCGCGCGCGCUCCAACUCGUCGUCGCCUGCGAUGCAGAGGAUACUAUCGAGGGCUGCUCGCCGUUGCACCAAUUCCUCGGCGGCAUUCAAAUCCCCACUCGCGCAGGCGAAUGUGGCAAGCGGACUUCAUUCUGAAGAUGCUCCAACUUGUUCUAAUGAAUAUGAUAAUUUGACAUGGAAGACUAGUUUGGUCAGAUCUAUGCAAGCAGACAUUGUCAAUGCUCUCCGUAGAGGUGAUCGGCAGCGGGCAUCAAUGAUUCUUUCAAACUUUCAAAACACUGAUUGGGCAUUGACUAAAGAUGAUUUCUCUUAUAUAUUGGAGUAUUGCGCAGAAGCACCUGAUCCUUUGUUUGUUAUGGAAACUUUGGAAUUCAUGGAGGAGAAGGCUAUUGGUAUGAGUAAGGGUAUCUACAGAUAUGUCAUUCGUGCCCUGAGCAGAGGAGGAUACUCGAAGGAGGCACUUCACUGGCUGACUCUUCUAGGGGAGAAAGAAAGCACUCAUGCCACUUUGCCAUUUUUUAAUAUCUUUCUAAACUCCUGUGGAAGUAGUGGAAAUCUGAAGGAUGCUGAAUGCUGUCUAGAGAUAAUGGAAAAUUAUCUUCUGGGGAAGUCUGAAAUAACGUACUAUGAGCUUUUGAAGAUUGCAGUCUUACAGGGAAAUCUGCCUGCAGUUUAUGAUAUUUGGAAGGACUGCACUAGAUAUUAUAGCCCAAGCAUUAUUAUGCAAAGGAAAAUUUUGAGGGCGUUAACCACGUUUGGUGACCUCCAAUCUGCAUAUCACAUCUUGCAGCAUAUGGUAGUCAUUGCUGCACAAAGCUCUGGCCAUCUGAGGUUGUCUUCUAAAAGAAGAUACCAAUCAUCAAGAUUAGACAUUCCUGUACUUGCAUUGAGUGAAUCGGAAGAUCUCAAAUUGUUACCAGACUGUAACCUGCAACCAUCUCAAGGGAAGCUGGCUACUGGUGAAAAUUCAGCUGAUGUUCAGCCUGAGUUAUUUGAGGAGAAAACUCAGUCAUUUGAAAUUGUUGAAUUGAAAGCUGAUGUAUUAUCUGAAGGCAACGAUCUUGCUGAUAAGGUUGGACUAGAGAAUGGGAGUGUUCCAGAUGCAUUGAGAUUUGUGGGAAGUGCAGUAAGGAGAAUUCUGAGAUGGUCGUUCAACGAUCUUAUGCAUGCAUGUGUACAAUUUAACAACUGUCAGUUAGCUGAGCAGUUAUUUCUAGAGAUGCAAAAACUUCGAUUGCGGCCAUCAAAAUUUACGUAUGAUGGGUUUGUCAAGACUGUGAUAGCUGGCAAAGGAGUUGCAUAUGCCAUGAAAGUGAUUGAAGUGAUGGAGAGAAGGGGCAUUAAACCUUACAAUGAUACACUUGCUGCUCUUUCAGAGGGUUAUAGCAAAAAAUUACAGUUGGAUUUGGCUGAGGACUUUUUGGAAAGAAUUUCAGAGAUACGACCAAAGCAUAUACGUGCCAUUAAUGCUUUGCUUUCUGGAUGUGAGAUUAUGAAUGAACCAGAAAGAGCUGUGCGCAUACUAGCUAAAAUGAAGCAAGUGAACAUGAAGGCAACUCUCAGGACGUAUGAACUUUUGUUUUCUCUGUUUGGCAAUAUCAAUGUUCCUUAUGAAGACGGAAAUGUGCUCUCUCAUGUUGAGGUUUCCAAAAGGAUAAGCAUAAUUGAGAUGGACAUGCUAAAUAAUGGAAUCCAACACAGUUUUGUGUCUAUGAAGAACUUAAUACGAGCUUAUGGAGCUGAGGGGAUGAUAGAGGAAAUGCUGAGGUACCUGAAUGUAGCUGAAAAUACCUUGUGGAACAUAAAUUCUUAUCAGAAGAGUGAUCUCUACAGUGUUGUGUUGCAUGCUCUUGUCCAAGCCAAGGAAAGUCACAAAGCAAUAAGGAUUUUCAAAAUCAUGAGAUCAUGCGGCAUUCCAACCGAUAUUUCAAUUUAUACUACCAUGAUAGAGUGCUGCAAAUGGUUACCAUGUUUCAAAUCAGCUAGGGCAUUGCUGUCUUUGAUGCUCCGAGAUGGCUUCCAUCCAACUGUCGUGACUUAUACAUCUCUCCUGAAGGUUGCAUUAGCAAAAGAUGAUUUUGAGGGGGCUCUGGAUCUGCUUGAUACAUGCAAAACUGAAGGAAUUGAGCCUGAUAUACAGAUGUUCAAUACAGUACUCUCACAUGCAUAUUAUAAAGGUCAAAUUCAUGUCAUCGAAUACAUUGUGGAGUGUAUACAUCGAGCAAAAAUCCAACCUGAUCCAUCAACACUCUGGUACACAUUUUGUGUGUACGAGGAGCAUGAACUUUACAAUACUGCAAUUGAGGCAUUGCAAGUACUCAGCAUGAGAAUGAUAUCUGAGGAUGUCAGCAUCUGUAGCGAGAAAAUAACUGUUUUUGAAGAUAUAAUCCUCAGUGAAGAGCCAGAUGCUGAACUGAGAAUCAUAAGGACAUUCGAAGCAGGUGAAGAGUUUCUUGCAACAGCUUUACUGAACCUGAGAUGGUGUGCGAUAAUGGGUGCCACCAUAUCUUGGUCACCAGAGGAGAGUCUUUGGGCAUGGAGGCUGGCAUCCUCGUACGAUGAUAACAGGAGACCACAUAUAAGCCCCCCGGAAGUCCCCCAAUCUUGGGGAAGGAAAUCCUAUUUCUGAGUAUCAGGAUAAGGAAACUAAUGGAGGCAGAACAGAGUCAUUGUCCCAAUCUAGUGGUAGGCAGAACCAAAUGAAUCUCUCUGCUAGGCAUGAUUACUACAUCAUGUUUUCUUUUGCUGGAAAGUAUCCAGUAGGUGGACUUCCUUUUACCUAAACACCAUGGUUGGACCUGCCUGCUUGUUCAUCACCACCCAUCCUGAAGCUUGGUCAUGAAAUUUGUUCUGCGAGGGGCUGGUCUGUUGGCCUGUUGCACCUUUUUGAGCUUUCUGGGCCGACAGCUUUUAGGCCAACAUUACUUGAUAGGUUGCUUACCUGUUAUUCAUCUAGCUCUAACCAUUACUAAUUGUAUCAGGAGCAUUCUGUGGAAUUUGUUGAAACAUAUUUGAUGGUGACGAAGAUUGAAUCACGUGGCACUGACGGAUAAAUAAGAGGUUACAACUCAACAGUAGCUGGAAGCUGGGUUGUAGCACCUCAAAACAACUUGUUCUAGUUAUUCUGGAGAAAUAUGGAUGUUGUUAUAACUUGGUCUGACAGAGGUGGAUUAAAGAAGUAUGGAGAAGAAUGAGGGAAGGAGCUGCUUCAAUCGACGCCAGGGCUGCUUUAGAGCACUUGCAGAUGCAAAGAAUAUUUGAUUUUGUACACAUCAGAUGAUAGCUAGAGGCUCUUGUACCACAUAUGUAUGUUUCCUUAUGCUGAUUUGUAAAUUAGCUGUUUGUACUGUAGAUUUUGUAAUUGCUCUUUCUCAGGACUAUUGAAAAUUGUUGUAUCUC